AACGAACGCUGGCGGCAUGCCUAACACAUGCAAGUCGAACGAGACCUUCGGGUCCAGUGGCUACCGGGUUCGCAACCCGGGGAAACACGCGUUAGGGACCGGCAUAUCUCCCUGAAAGGACUGCAAAAACCGGAUACUAAUUCCGGACCAGAGAUUUUUCGGCUUGGGCGGGGCUGGCGUUGUUUGGGGUUGUUGGUAGGGUAACCGCCUACUCAGCCGGCGAUCCGUAGCUGGUCUGAGAGGGUGAUCAGCCACACUGGGACUGAGACACGGCCCUGACGCCUGCGGGAGGCAGCAGUGGGGAAUAUUGGACGGUGGGCUGAUGCCUGAUCCAGCAGUGCCGCGUGAGUGAUGAAGGGCUUAGGGUUGUAAAGCUCUUUUACCCGGGAUGAUAAUGACGGUGCCGGUAGAGUAGGCCCCGCCUACCUCCGU
RNAcentral lists this ribosomal RNA (432 nucleotides) under uncultured bacterium. RNAcentral's name for it is "partial 16S ribosomal RNA". It matches the Rfam family "Bacterial small subunit ribosomal RNA", at positions 29 to 506 of the family's 1533-position model. The record is from RNAcentral.